This is a small nucleolar RNA of Suncus etruscus (white-toothed pygmy shrew), 187 nucleotides long. RefSeq annotates it as small nucleolar RNA SNORA23. Lineage: Eukaryota; Metazoa; Chordata; Mammalia; Eulipotyphla; Soricidae. The transcript has a single exon. The record is from RefSeq and is a predicted model, not a curated record.
ACUGUAAUGGAUGCAGUUUUCAUCUAUCAUAUAGGAGUAUCGAUUUACAGUUUGCAUUCAAAUCUUACUAGUCACACAAACAUCAGUCAUUCAGAGCAUAAACUUGGCAUCAUAGAACUGGUUCAGUGUUGUCUCUUGGGAUCUGUAUAUAACUACAAUUGGCCAACCUCCAAAUUCCCACACUUUU